This is a long non-coding RNA of Mauremys reevesii (Reeves's turtle), 527 nucleotides long. RefSeq lists it as uncharacterized. NCBI's taxonomy places the organism in Eukaryota, Metazoa, Chordata, Testudines, Geoemydidae. The transcript is spliced from 4 exons. The record is from RefSeq and is a predicted model, not a curated record.
GCUCCAGGCACCAGCCGACCAAGCACGUGCUUGGGGCGGCACCUUGGGGCAGAAAGAUGACCAUGGAACUACAUGAUAUUAUUGGACAAAGAUGGUGCUAAAUGAUGUCCUUAUAUCCUUGGAUUGUGGCAUUCCUUCAGAACAAAAACAAAUUUUUCAAAUCUCAAAUCUUGCCUGGAAAUGGAACUGUCCUCCUGUCAGCUCUACUAGCCAGUGCCUAGGAAUUCCAGAUGGAGAGUGAAUGUGCACACACCUCUUUGGAAACGUCCCCUUGUCCUGCCCUGACAAUCCUUCCUCCGACGCUCCAGCUUGACCUCAACACUAUGGCCAACCUACCAUCUGGGGCAAUGAUCUAGGAAGGAGGCAGAGAUGAGAGACACACUAUUUGUGAGAUGCAAGCAGCUGCAAUCAACCUGACUGCUUCGUAUGGUGGCUCACAGGAUGGAAAAAUUGGUUGAACAAUAUAAUUAGCAAAUGUAAUUGCUAUUACAGCCUGAGUUGUUGGUUCAAUAAUUAGCAAGGAAGAC